AAGAUAGGAUCUAUUUUAUUGACAGGAUUUAUCACUACUUUAGCUACUUUAGCAGCUUGGCCAAUUACACGGAAUUCGUGAUUAUUCUAUUUGUUGGUGCUCGCUAUGUAUAGUGGUCACAUAGGAUUAUUUUCUUUGCGAGACCUUUUACUAUUUUUUAUCAUGUGGGAGUUAGAAUUAAUUCUUGUUUACUUACUUUUAUCCCAGUGAAGCGGCCCCAGGUGUAAGAAUGCCCAGAUAUCAUGUGGGAAUGGACAGGAUUUAUCGCUUCACUCGCAGCAAACCAUCAGGUUGCAUCGAUAUCAUAUCUUUAUCACCAAAAUAAAACAUGAAUCGUGCUACUCAUUACCUACAGGUCCUGACCAAUGUAGUUCAAUGGCCAGCCCUUCCCCCUGCGGUUGUACCAAGCGACGGCCCAUACAUACCCGUCGACGGAGCCACUUCGCCCAACUCACAACAGCUGUCGUCGGCUCGCUCAUCUCCCUCACAGAACAGCAUCGCUUCACUCGCAGCAAACCAUCAGGCUGCAUCGAUAUCAUAUCUUUAUCACCAAAAUAA
RNAcentral lists this ribosomal RNA (558 nucleotides) under Triticum aestivum (bread wheat). Its description in RNAcentral is "partial small subunit ribosomal RNA". Lineage: Eukaryota; Viridiplantae; Streptophyta; Magnoliopsida; Poales; Poaceae. The record is from RNAcentral.